GCAAAGUAAUUUGUUUAAAACAUAUGAUUGAAUCUCCGAGGCAUCAUAGUUUUAAAACGCAUACAAAAAUAGCUAUAUUUAGAGUAUAAAAGCUUGCCUGGUCUUACUCUUGUUACAAAUUUGACUAAUUUUCCUCCUGGAUAAAUUCUGUCGUAGACAUCUAAAGGUAAUUCGUCAUGAAAACCGCAUUAGUGCUCGUCAUUUUAAUAGCUGCUGCUAUAGCGCAACCUCUGGGCUACCUUGGUUCACAUGGUUAUCUCGGAGUUUUAGGGGGUGGAGGUUUACAUGGAGGUUUCCACGGCGGUUUUCAUGGAGGUUUCCACGGAGGUUUUCAUGGAGGUUUUCCUGGAUUUGGAAUAUAUGGUGGUGACUUUGAGGGUGAAUACGAAGGCGGAGAAUAUGAAGGUGGCUAUGACUUUUAGGGUGACAUUGACCGUGGUGACUUUGCCGAUAUGUAAGAGCGACGGACAGCACGGAAUACCUCGCCUUCCCAUCCUUCAUGAGUUCACCAUUAAUUUAUGCGUCCAAUUGUUCUGAUAUUUAUAUCGCACAUUGCCAGGUUUUAUAUGUUAUUUAUUAUCAUCAAACCUGCGAAAGAACUUAGUCAAACGCCUUUUUGUAGUCCACGAAGACACAUUAUAGUUUUCGAAGAGCUAAGUAUCCGAAUACGAUGAACGCCUUCUUCACUCCAAGUGUGUAUUCAGUUAUAUAAGAGUAAGUCUUGCAAAUAUGUUUCUCAGAUUGUUUUGAAUUCAUUGCGUAACAGUUGUGAGUAGUUGCAUGUAUUGUAUAAUUCCCUGUUUACACAAGAAGGAUUCAAAUCUUAUUAGCAAAUAUACUCGUAGCAAACUUUAUUAUAUUUGUAUAGACUAUAUACACGUUUGAUACAAUUAUACUUGAACCUGUUAAGACAAUGUAGUUCAUGUUGUGUAUGAGCAAUUAUUUCAUUAAAAUAUUUUUAAUAAAUGGCAAGUUCUGUUAUACUUUACUAGGAUUCGGUGAAAAAUAAUGUUUAUCUAGCAUCUGAUUUGUAUUUUAUUCGUUGGACAUGUUACUGUUUUACUGAUUUUACAACCUUCAUCUUAUAACGAAAUGAUCAUUGUAUAUGGUAUAUCUGGUGUCACUUGUCAGUUUAUUUUAAAUAUUGAUAUCUCAUAGGAAACUGCCAAUGAGUCUUUGCACGUUUUUACGUUGGAGGUAUCCGAAUCAAAACUAGAAAUGUAUUGCUGAUUUCAUUAUGCGCUUUAUUACAAUUUAUGAUUGUAUUACUGCAUAUUCUACAUAUUAUUAAGACAAAAUAGGACAUUAGUAUACACUGAAUAAGGUGUGCUGAGUAUUCAAAUAUAUUUACGCACAACUUCUUAUAGAUAUAUACAAUAGAUUAAUUGUUACUGCAACUGUUAACAACAAUAUGAGACUUAUGCAAUGUUUAAUUCAAAUAUUGCCCUUUUGUAUAUGUUAUAUAUAUAAAUAUUAUCCACUUUAACAUACCCAGUAUAACGACGUUAUGUAACCAAUUAAUCUGACCACUAAAAAUGUCCACUAAGAAGAUUUAACCAUUCACUUUUUGGGAAAUAAGUCAUUUAUUAUUUAGUCGUAUGCUUAGUUGACUUUCAAGGACAGUCGCAUUCUUUUUUCAUUCACUGAUCUGUAAAUUCUUUUUUUGUAAUGCUAUUAUUUUUCAUUGCAUUUAUUAAUAUGUAUCCUAAUUUUCAGUAACUUUUGUCCGAACUCUCAAUACUUUCUGCUGGUUAACAAUAAUAAUACUUUAUCAAUUUUUCUCAUUGCUGUUUUUCUUCUCUAUGGUGCUCACACAGUCUAUCAUCUCCCAACACGAAUUUUCUAUACUGUUUUGCUCACACACAUGUUCUUACGCACUUAAGGCUGUCAUAAGUGAAAGGUAUCACCCACCAUGACAUUCACAUUUGAACGUGUCUUAUAAUCCAACAGAGCCUUAGUGAACCAGCUCUUCACCACGCGAGUCGUACUUUACAUUGUUGUUAAAUUUCCCUUGACUCUUAUACUUCUAUUAAUAUCAGGUGAUGUUCCCCCGAAUCCAGGACCAGAAUCAGUUUCAUCAGACAACAUGUCAACACCAAUGUACUCUGAUCUUCUCAAUAGUGGUUUAAGCAUUAUGCACCUUAACAUCCAAAGUCUGAAACCCAAACUAGAUAUCCUUGCAGUUGAAUCUCUCCCUUAUUACAUCAUGGUCCUUACAGAAACAUGGCUAAGCCAUGACGUGAUUAAUGAAGAUGUUUUUAUUCCUGACUUUAGUCAACCUGUUCGAUGCGAUCGUAAUGACAGAUUAUGUGGCGGUGUGGCGAUAUACGUACGCCAGAACACUAACGUUACUCAUCGCCUCGCCAAGACUAUAGCUUCCACUUUUCUCUAUUUUAUCGGUUAAUGGUCUCGAAGCUGUAUGGAUAGAGUAACAUGUAAAUAAUCGUAAUCUUCUUUUAGGCGGUAUAUACAGACGUCCUAGUGCUAAUAACAACUAUUGGCAACUUCUUGAACAUAGUAUUGAUCAGGCCUUUAAUAAACCUUGUAAUGAUAUUUUGAUCACCGGCGACUUUAACACUGACGUUCUUUCAAAUCCAUCCAACUGGUUGGACAGAUUUAUGUCAUCAUAUAAUGCACAUCAACUUAUAGGUACUCCUACUCACUUCACAGAACGAUCUUCUUCUCUCAUAGACUUGUUUUUUAUAAAACAUCCCGAUAAUGUUAUUUCUAGUUUUGUUGCCGAUCCUUUUGUUCCAGACCUCGUUCGUUUCCACUGCCCAGUCGUCUGUGUCCUCAAAUUUAACAAACCGAAACAGUCUUGUUUUAAACGCCGAAUUUGGCAAUACGACCGUUGUAAUUUUAAUGAUUUUAGACAAGAACUGGGAACAUGUGACUGGAAUUUUCUAAACAAUAAUGACCUAGAAUAAACAUCAUUUCAGAUAUCAUUACUUUUGUAGCAUCGAAAACAAUUCCAAAAAAAGUAAUAACUGUUAGACCAAAUGAUACCUUGGAUGAACGGCUCAAUUAGAAAAUUAAUACGCAAACGCAACAGAAUCCAUAAAAUAGCGAAAACCUCCAAUGAUCCUAUUACCUGGGCUAAUUUUAGGAAAAUAAGAAAUGAGGUUACAAAUCUAAUAAGAAAAUCGAAAUCUGAAUACCUAUCAAUAUAAUGAACUCUAACAAUACAACAGCUAAAGAAUGGUUCAAAUUGGCAAAAAAAGGUAACCAAAAAGGAUUCCUAAAAAUCAAUCCCGAACUUGGUAAAAGGCAAUGCUCAAGGUUCAAGUGAUGUAGACAAAGCGAACUUAUUAAAUCAAUAUUUCUGUUCUCAGUCAUCCAUAGAUGAUUCAGGUCACGACUUACCAAAUAUCCCUGUCAGCAGAUGCUCGCUUCAGGACAUAUCUAUAUCAGUCCAAGACGUGACUGACAGUAUAAAUUCAAUCGACCCCGGAAAGGCAUGUGGCCCAGAUUUGUUCAGUCCCCGUCUUAUUCGGGAGAGAUCCAGCGUUCUUGCUAAACCCCUGUCCAUCUACUUCAACAAGCUCCUUCAGCAAUCUUUCUUUCCUACUUCUUGGAAACUCGCUAAUGUCACGCCAAUAUUCAAGAAGUCCGACCCAUCCAAACCGUCUAACUAUCGUCCUGUCUCGCUCUUAAGCUUCAUAGGCCAACUUAUGGAACGCUGUAUCCACAAGCACUUCUACAAUUACAUUGUCGCAAAUAACCUUCUAACUUUGCAUCAGUCUGGUUUCAUAAAAGGUGAUUCAACGGUUAACCAGCUGACCUUCUUUUAAAAUGAAAUAUGUCAACCACUGACUGAGGGCAAGGAAGUGCGAGCGGUGUUUUGUGAUAUAUCAAAAGCCUACGAUAGAGUCUGGCAUCGGCGUCUCCUUCACAAACUUUCUUCUUUUGGAAUCCGCGGAAAGCUCAUAGAGUGGUUCUCGUCAUACCUUUACCUAAAAGGCAACGAGUUGUUAUUUCAAAUACUUCUUCGUCCUGGCGAGACAUUUCCGCUGACGUUCCUCAGGGUUCAAUUCUUGGACCUCUUUUGUUUCUAAUCUAUAUAAACGAUAUUGUAAAUGAUCUCCAGGCCAACAUCCGGCUGUUUGCCGAUGAAACUACACUAUACAUAAGUGUUGAUUCCCCGGAUGCAUCCGCUGUUGUCCUUAAUUCUGAUCUUCGUAAAAUAACAAACUGGUCAAGAUCUUGGCUUGUUGAUUUUAACCCCCAAAAACUGAAACUGUUCUAUUCUCUAGGAAGAGAGAUCGUGCAAACCAUUCCACUCUAAUCAUGGACGACGUCCCUAUUUCUUCUGUUAAAACUCACAAACAUCUUGGUAUUUCAUUUUCCGAGGACGCUAAGUGGAAGGAGCAUAUAUCUUCGUCUGUAAAUAGGCUUGGCAGAGGUAAGGCAUAAUGCGACCGCUGAAAUUUAUCUUGUCACGUUCCAGUCUGGAAAGAAUGUACUUUUCAUUCGUUAGGCCUCUUCUUGAGUACGGAGAUGUUAUAUGGGACAAUUGUUCUGUAGAAUUAAAAAAUGAUAUAGAUGCUGUUCAAAAUGAGGCUGUGAGGAUCGUUACUGGUGCGACCAAACUAUGCAAUAUUCAAUCGAUGCUGUAUGAGCUUCGGUGGGAGACCCUUUCAAUAAGGCGUAAGAAAAACAGGCUCGUUCUAUUCUACAAAAUGACAAACGGUCUUACUCCUCAUUAUCUCAGCAGUUUGAUUCCUGAAAACCAAAAUCGAUAUCCUUUAAGGAAUUCCGAUAACAUACCUACGUUACCAUCUAGAACGCAACUUUAUAACUCUUCUUUUUUGCCAGCAACUAUUCGCGACAGGAAUUCUCUCCCGUCUGAUGUUCGAAAUUGUAACUCUUCAAACCUUCAAAACUAAAAUCACAAAACAACAAACAAAGUCUCCCACCCUUUUUAACGUUGGAACACGUAAAAACCAGAUAUUAUAUAAUCGUGUACGUCUCGGGUGCAGCUCAACAUUACCGACACUGCUCUCUGCAGAUGCGGAGCCCCUGACUCUGUUUCCCAUUUCUUGCUUCAAUGUCUCCUUUACACCACGCGUAUGUUGGACCGAUGUCAAGAGCUAUGCGAGCCCCUCCUUUCUCUUCUUUUCUAUUCUAUCGAUUUUAUUGUUCUAAAUCAUUUCUCACAUUAAAUUUUUAUUUGAUAUUAGUAAUGUGACAUAUACAUAUGUUUAAAAGAGUCCGUAUACUUAGGUUAUUUCUCAAAACGCUUUACCUCAAACAACUUCCCAACUCUUGAAACAUUAUUCAAGUAUAAAUUUAAUUACCUUGUUACCAUGUUUAUAACUGUCAUACUGAUCGUAACCUUGUACAUUUAUUGUUGUAAAUUUGUUUAUUGGAAUGGAAUUUACAUAAGCUAUCAGCUUGUUUUCCAAUCCAUGUAUUUUGACCUGUAAAACUGUGUUGUACAUGUUAUGUUGCUUCAAAAAUAAAUAUUGUUUAAACUAACGAAAUGGAGUUUAACAUAGUAUUACAUUAAUUCAAUUUUACAAGACAAUAAGAGAUCUAUUUAAC
This is a long non-coding RNA of Mercenaria mercenaria, 5544 nucleotides long. RefSeq lists it as uncharacterized. The transcript is spliced from 3 exons. The record is from RefSeq and is a predicted model, not a curated record. NCBI's taxonomy places the organism in Eukaryota, Metazoa, Mollusca, Bivalvia, Venerida, Veneridae.